Long non-coding RNA from Ruditapes philippinarum (Manila clam), 1751 nucleotides. RefSeq lists it as uncharacterized. The transcript has 2 exons. The record is from RefSeq and is a predicted model, not a curated record. NCBI's taxonomy places the organism in Eukaryota, Metazoa, Mollusca, Bivalvia, Venerida, Veneridae.
CUUCUUUCAGUACACCUUACAGCAAGAUCCCACUCUAGACCAAUACGGACAGAGGCCAAUGCCUGCAAAUGUUUUUGCCCGGUACAGGGACACCUACCCUCAGUACAGUAGGAAUAUUGCUUCUGAAGCCUGGAGAUAAGUUUUCAAUCAAGCAUCAUUCAAUCAUUUUAUUUUCAUGAAUAAAUCAAACCUGACUGGAAUUGUGUGUUCUUUGUUAAACUGGACAAAACUAAAAUGAAGAAUAUAUACGGGAAAAUGAAUGAAAAUGUGAUUUUUUACAUAGUAGCUACCACUAUUUCAUCUGAAAUGUGCGCUUUAUUUAUAGAAAGCAUAUUUCUUUUCUAAAAUCUAUGGAUGGCCGAUGUGUAAUUAUAAAAUCUAACUUGUUCUAUUGAGUGAUAGUAUGAUGUGUUUAGUAAAUAAAUAUAUUGUCACAUUAGCGCAAUAACGAGUUAAGUCUUAUUAAAUAUAGAAGGACUUAACCCUUUACUGCACUAAGGUGACGAAUUAUGUCAGUCUAUAUGCCCAAAUAUUUCCGUUUUCGUGAAGAAAUACAUGUGCACUGAGUGAUAAAUUUACUACUAUAUGUUUUAUACAAUGUAUUUUUAUUAUAAUCAGAAUUGUUAAGUAGACGGUUGUCUGGUGGGCACCGUUUUAGAACAAUUAGACCCAUGUCCCAAACUUUCGGAAAUAGUAUAAUAUUAUAUAGACUGUUGCGUAGACUACUCUCAUUUGCUGUGAAUUCCUUUUAAGUUUUUCGAUGAAAGGAACACGAUGUGUGAGCAGUAUUUGCAAAACUUAGAAACAACUGAUUUGUUCUGAUGAUUUUAAAAAGUGUAAUCGAUUAUUUUAUCUAUUAUUAUACAUUGUAAUUAUUAUUAUUUCAAGGAUAAACGUUUCGAAAAUCUAUAAUCAAAUUUUCGGUUAAAAGGUAGGGAUGUUGCUCUAUCUUUUAUUUCGAAUUUAUUACGUUUGUCUUAUUGCUUAGCAUCUAUAGGUGUUUUGAUAAUUUUAUAAAGAGGGUACAAUUUUUUUUCAGUAUUACUAUUUUCUCUUUUUACAAAACAGUAUUAAAAUAUGUUUGAAUUGUCAAAUCUAUGAAUGAAUUGUGUACAGUAAAGUUAAACAAAUUUAUUUAAAUUUUCGUAGAGGCAAUAUAUUAUAUAUUUAUAUAGUUCUUUUUAUCACAGUAUACUUAAGAAUGCCACAAAUUUGGCAAACUCCUACGCAGUGGUCGCCCUUUGCUUCGCAACUUUCAGCGUAGCCGAGGAGUUUGCCAAUUUGGCUGGUGUUGCUCCCCUUGAUUUUCAAGUUGUAAGGGAGAUAAUCGUUAGGACGGCAAUCUUAUAUUAUAUAGAACUUAAUUACCCGCAUGAUUUAUUUGAUGAGCUCAAACGCACAGGCUGCCUAUGUGUUUAUAACAAUCUUAACUCUCGUUAAUGUCAUUUUAUUUACAAAAUGGCGCCUUAAUAGUAUUAAGUAUUAUUUGUUCUUGUUGAUUUUCUAUGUCUGUGAUAAUCUUUUACUUGUUAUUCAAUACUUGUUUUUUUAUAUUGAAACCCCUAUUACCAGUAUUAAAACCAGAAAUCUACUGGUCUCACACCAUGUACAAUGCUUGUAACGUUCAGUAUUACAUUGUAUUUUUGUUACACAUAUUUCUCGAGUGUGCAUGUUUUAUAUUGAAUCAAAGUGUACUUUAUAUAAAAAAAAGUAUUAAAUCAGUGUUAUGCUCAGUAAAAAAAAGAAAUUUA